GGUGAGGUACGUUAUAAAAAGACACCCCUUUCGGACUUGGUUUCCAACUCAUUCGAGAGUUUGUAAGAUUUUUUUUAUUGAAAAUUCUUGGAGUUGGGAUUGAAAAACUAAGGUGCUGCUUGAUGACAAUGAGAGCACAUCUGGCUUGGUUCUCUUUUGAUUGUAGGUCGCAGAUGAUUAUAAAUUGCAAACUGUAGUUGCAGGCUAAUUUGAUAGGCUAAUAGAAAGGAUUUUCGAAGGCAUCGAUGGC
RNAcentral lists this long non-coding RNA (250 nucleotides) under Elaeis guineensis (African oil palm). RNAcentral describes it as "long non-coding RNA (EGUI_LNC004566)". The record is from RNAcentral. Lineage: Eukaryota; Viridiplantae; Streptophyta; Magnoliopsida; Arecales; Arecaceae.